CUUCCGUAGGUGAACCUGCGGAAGGAUCAUUACCUAGAGUUGUAGGCUUUGCCUACCAUCUCUUACCCAUGUCUUUUGAGUACCUUCGUUUCCUCGGCGGGUCCGCCCGCCGAUUGGACAAACUUAAACCCUUUGUAAUUGAAAUCAGCGUCUGAAAAAACAUAAUAGUUACAACUUUCAACAACGGAUCUCUUGGUUCUGGCAUCGAUGAAGAACGCAGCGAAAUGCGAUAAGUAGUGUGAAUUGCAGAAUUCAGUGAAUCAUCGAAUCUUUGAACGCACAUUGCGCCCCUUGGUAUUCCAUGGGGCAUGCCUGUUCGAGCGUCAUUUGUACCUUCAAGCUCUGCUUGGUGUUGGGUGUUUGUCUCGCCUUUGCGUGUAGACUCGCCUUAAAACAAUUGGCAGCCGGCGUAUUGAUUUCGGAGCGCAGUACAUCUCGCGCUUUGCACUCAUAACGACGACGUCCAAAAAGUACUUUUUACACUCUUGACCUCGGAUCAUUAGGACCCGAAU
RNAcentral lists this ribosomal RNA (512 nucleotides) under Coniothyrium fuscidulum. RNAcentral's name for it is "eukaryotic LSU rRNA". The stretch from base 173 to 326 matches the Rfam family "5.8S ribosomal RNA". Lineage: Eukaryota; Fungi; Ascomycota; Dothideomycetes; Pleosporales; Coniothyriaceae. The record is from RNAcentral.